Carassius gibelio (silver crucian carp) is the source of this 259-nucleotide long non-coding RNA. RefSeq lists it as uncharacterized. The record is from RefSeq and is a predicted model, not a curated record. NCBI's taxonomy places the organism in Eukaryota, Metazoa, Chordata, Actinopteri, Cypriniformes, Cyprinidae. The transcript is spliced from 2 exons.
GUGAGUGUGGGCAUGUUUUUGUGACAUAUCAGGACACAGCUCUGUAUAAUGUCAUGGGUAUGACACAGGUAUUACAAGGAGAGGGUGACUUAUGAGGACAUAACCAUGUCCCCAUUUUUCAAAACACUUAUAAAUCAUACAGAAUGAUUUUUUUGAGAAAGUAAAAAUGCACAAAGUUUCCUGUGAGGGUUAGGGUUAGGUGUAGGGUUGGUGAAGGGACAUAGAAUAUACAGUUUCUACAGAAUAAAAACCAUUACAC